RNAcentral lists this ribosomal RNA (253 nucleotides) under uncultured prokaryote. RNAcentral's name for it is "partial 16S ribosomal RNA". It matches the Rfam family "Bacterial small subunit ribosomal RNA", at positions 525 to 777 of the family's 1533-position model. The record is from RNAcentral.
ACGAAGGUGGCAAGCGUUACUCGGAAUUACUAGGCGUAAAGGGCAGGUAGGUGGUUUGGUAAGUCUGUUGUGUAAGCUCCCGGCUUAACUGGGAGAGGUCAACGGAAACUACCAGACUUGAGUAUAGGAGAGGUUACUGGAAUUCCCGGUGUAGCGGGGAAAUGCGCAGAGAUCGGGAGGAACACCAAUGGCGAAAGCAGGUAACUGGACGAGGACUGACACUCAGCGGCGAAAGCUAGGGGAGCAAACAGGA